RNAcentral lists this ribosomal RNA (382 nucleotides) under uncultured Glomus. RNAcentral's name for it is "SSU rRNA". It matches the Rfam family "Eukaryotic small subunit ribosomal RNA", at positions 569 to 957 of the family's 1831-position model. The record is from RNAcentral. Lineage: Eukaryota; Fungi; Glomeromycota; Glomeromycetes; Glomerales; Glomeraceae.
AGCAGCCGCGGUAAUUCCAGCUCCAAUAGCGUAUAUUAAAGUUGUUGCAGUUAAAAAGCUCGUAGUUGAAUUUCGGGAUCAAUAUUUCGGUCAUGCCGUUGGUAUGCACUGUUAUCAUUGAUUUCUCACCUUCUAAAGAACCGUGAUGCCAUUAAUUUGGUGUUACGGGGAAUUAGGACUGUUACCUUGAAAAAUUGAGUGUUUAAAGCAGGCUCACGCUUGAAUACAUUAGCAUGGAAUAAUGAAAUAGGACAUCCGAUUCAUUUUGUUGGUUUCUAGGAUCGAUGUAAUGAUUAAUAGGGAUAGUUGGGGGCAUUAGUAUUCAAUUGUCAGAGGUGAAAUUCUUGGAUUUAUUGAAGACUAACUACUGCGAAAGCAUUUG